Mus musculus (house mouse) is the source of this 661-nucleotide long non-coding RNA. RefSeq annotates it as predicted gene, 52419. NCBI's taxonomy places the organism in Eukaryota, Metazoa, Chordata, Mammalia, Rodentia, Muridae. The record is from RefSeq and is a predicted model, not a curated record. The transcript is spliced from 2 exons.
AUGUGAGAAGUCCUUAUCAGCUGCCUCAGUAGAGAAAGUGCUGCUCUAACCAGGAGGCACAGCAGCUGCACCUGCUCUCCCGGGCCCAGCCCCUCACCCCAGGAAGGGUCAUGCUAUGAAGCCCUGACAAGCAUGGAACUUACCUUGGAUAUGGAGCUGGUAUAUCUCAAGGAGAACUUGCCAUGACCCUCCUGCCUCUGCCUUCUGAGUACACAAAUGACGAUGGUCUCGCUUCACGACACCCAGUCAGCUUUCUCUGCCAGAAGCAUUCGGACCAGGAGGAGUGGGUUAUUUUCCCAGGAGAUGUUGCAUUCCUGAUUGAACAUGCUGGCCUUGAGAUAAGGGCGGCCCCGAGAUAACAGUUUUUAAAAAAUUCAUAAAAAGGAUGGUCUAGAAAUUCUUUAAAAAAAAAAAAAAACAACACAAUAACAAAUUCAAAGAGGCCAGUUUGUGGUAGGAAAAGUAUACAUGACAUUUUCAUACAUACUAGGAGUCCAGGCUGGCUUAAAAUUUGCUCUGUAGCUGACGAUGACUUUGGAUUCCUGAGCCUUUCUUGUCUGCUUUCAGAGAUCUGGGAUUGUAGUCUUGUACCACCAUGCCUAGUUUUUGUGUGAUUUUGAGUGUUGACACUAGCCCCACAGUGUAUAAAAAGUAUAAACUU